UACGUAGGCAGCGAGCGUUGUUCGGAGUUACUGGGCGUAAAGGGUGCGUAGGUGGGCUGGUAAGUCAGUGGUGAAAUCUCCAGGCUUAACUUGGAAACUGCCAUUGAUACUAUCAGUCUUGAAUACCGUGGAGGUCAGCGGAAUAUGUCAUGUAGCGGUGAAAUGCUUAGAUAUGACAUAGAACACCAAUUGCGAAGGCAGCUGGCUACACGAAUAUUGACACUGAUGCACGAAAGCGUGGGGAUCAAACAGG
Molecule: ribosomal RNA, 253 nt
Filed under: uncultured bacterium
Lineage: Bacteria
Description: partial 16S ribosomal RNA
Rfam family: Bacterial small subunit ribosomal RNA
Source: RNAcentral